This 489-nucleotide ribosomal RNA is filed under the name uncultured bacterium. RNAcentral's name for it is "partial 16S ribosomal RNA". It matches the Rfam family "Bacterial small subunit ribosomal RNA", at positions 28 to 507 of the family's 1533-position model. The record is from RNAcentral.
GAUGAACGCUAGCUACAGGCUUAACACAUGCAAGUCGAGGGGCAGCAUGAACUUAGCUUGCUAAGUUUGAUGGCGACCGGCGCACGGGUGAGUAACACGUAUCCAACCUGCCGAUGACUCGGGGAUAGCCUUUCGAAAGAAAGAUUAAUACCCGAUGGCAUAGUUCUUCCGCAUGGUAGAACUAUUAAAGAAUUUCGGUCAUCGAUGGGGAUGCGUUCCAUUAGGUUGUUGGCGGGGUAACGGCCCACCAAGCCUUCGAUGGAUAGGGGUUCUGAGAGGAAGGUCCCCCACAUUGGAACUGAGGCACGGUCCAAACUCCUACGGGAGGCAGCAGUGAGGAAUAUUGAUCAAUGGACGAGAGUCUGAACCAGCCAAGUAGCGUGAAGGAUGACUGCCCUAUGGGUUGUAAACUUCUUUUAUACGGGAAUAAAGUGAGGCACGUGUGCCUUUUUGUAUGUACCGUAUGAAUAAGGAUCGGCUAACUCCGUG